RNAcentral lists this ribosomal RNA (1711 nucleotides) under human gut metagenome. RNAcentral describes it as "bacterial LSU rRNA". It matches the Rfam family "Bacterial large subunit ribosomal RNA", at positions 807 to 2542 of the family's 2925-position model. The record is from RNAcentral.
AGGUGUGGAUAGCGGAGAAAUUCCAAUCGAACCCGGAGAUAGCUGGUUCUCCUCGAAAUAGCUUUAGGGCUAGCCUCGUUUUAGUCUGGUGGAGGUAGAGCACUGAAUUCCCAAGGGGGCGUCAAAGCUUACUAAGGGAUAUCAAACUCCGAAUGCCAUACAGAUGAUGAACGGGAGUCAGACUAUACGAGAUAAGUUGGAUAGUCAAAAGGGAAAGAGCCCAGACCUGCAGCUAAGGUCCCAAAGUGCAUGUUAAGUGGAAAAGGAUGUGGGAUCUCUAAGACAACUAGGAUGUUGGCUCAGAAGCAGCCAUUCAUUCAAAGAGUGCGUAACAGCUCACUAGUCGAGAGGUCCUGCGCCGAAAAUGUCCGGGGCUAAAACAUGCCACCGAAGCUCAGGAAUGACAUAGUCAUUGGUAGAGGAGCAUUCUUAACGCGAAGAAGCAGUACCGUAAGGAGCUGUGGAGUGCUAAGAAGAGAGAAUGCCGGAAUGAGUAGCGAGAACAAGGUGAGAAUCCUUGUGGCCGAAUAUCCAAGGUCUCCAGGGUAAAGCUGAUCUGCCCUGGGAAAGUCGGGACCUAAGGUCAGGCUGAAAAGCGUAGCCGAUGGACAACAGGUUGAUAUUCCUGUACCGCAUGGUAACAGAACUGUGGGGACACGGGAGGGAAACAUGGGCCGGAAAUGGAAAGUCCGGUACAAGCGAGGUAGUCGCACAGCAGGCAAAUCCGCUGUGCAUAAGACGAAGCCGUGAUGUGGAGCGAAAUGAAGUAGCGAAGCAUGUGCCCCCUCCUGUCGAGAAAAGCCGCUAUUGUUUGCCAUGCGCCCGUACCGUAAACCGACACAGGUGGAUGAGGAGAGAAUCCUAAGGCCGGCGGGAGAAGCAUUGUCAAGGAACUCGGCAAAAUGACCCCGUAACUUCGGGAGAAGGGGUGCCCACGCAAGUGGGCCGCAGAGAAUAGGCUCAAGCAACUGUUUAGCAAAAACACAGGUCUAUGCGAAACCGUAAGGUGAUGUAUAUGGGCUGACGCCUGCCCGGUGCUGGAAGGUUAAGAGGAGAGGUUAGCGCAAGCGAAGCUUUGAAUCCAAGCCCCAGUAAACGGCGGCCGUAACUAUAACGGUCCUAAGGUAGCGAAAUUCCUUGUCGGGUAAGUUCCGACCCGCACGAAAGGCGUAAUGAUUUGAGCGCUGUCUCGACAAUGCACCCGGUGAAAUUGAAGUACCAGUGAAGAUGCUGGUUACCCGCGCCAGGACGGAAAGACCCCAUGGAGCUUUACUCCAGUUUGGUACUGGAGCCUGGUAUUGCAUGUACAGGAUAGGUGGGAGCUUAAGAACCUGGGACGCCAGUCUCAGGGGAGGCGCUGUUGGGAUACCACCCUUGCAAUAUCGGGUUUCUAACCAGCCGCCGUGAUCCGGCGGUGGGACAAUGCCAGGCGGGGAGUUUGACUGGGGCGGUCGCCUCCGAAAGGGUAUCGGAGGCGCUCAAAGUUUCCCUCAUAAUGGUCGGAAACCAUUAGAAGAGUGCAAAGGCAGAAGGGAGGCUGACUGCGACACCGACGGGUGGAGCAGGUACGAAAGUAGGACUUAGUGAUCCGGUGGCAUAAAGUGGGAUUGCCAUCGCUCAACGGAUAAAAGCUACCCUGGGGAUAACAGGCUUAUCACUCCCAAGAGUUCACAUCGACGGAGUGGUUUGGCACCUCGAUGUCGGCUCAUCG